Molecule: ribosomal RNA, 492 nt
Filed under: uncultured bacterium
Lineage: Bacteria
Description: partial 16S ribosomal RNA
Rfam family: Bacterial small subunit ribosomal RNA
Source: RNAcentral
AGUGAACGCUGGCGGUAGGCCUAGCACAUGCAAGUCGAACGGCAGCACAGUAAGAGCUUGCUCUUACGGGUGGCGAGUGGCGGACGGGUGAGGAAUACAUCGGAAUCUACUUUUUCGUGGGGGAUAACGUAGGGAAACUUACGCUAAUACCGCAUACGACCUACGGGUGAAAGCAGGGGAUCUUCGGACCUUGCGCGAUUGAAUGAGCCGAUGUCGGAUUAGCUAGUUGGCGGGGUAAAGGCCCACCAAGGCGAUGAUCCGUAGCUGGUCUGAGAGGAUGAUCAGCCACACUGGAACUGAGACACGGUCCAGACUCCUACGGGAGGCAGCAGUGGGGAAUAUUGGACAAUGGGCGCAAGCCUGAUCCAGCCAUACCGCGUGGGUGAAGAAGGCCUUCGGGUUGUAAAGCCCUUUUGUUGGGAAAGAAAAGCAGCAGGUUAAUACCCCGCUGUUCUGACGGUACCCAAAGAAUAAGCACCGGCUAACUUCGUG